RNAcentral lists this ribosomal RNA (231 nucleotides) under uncultured bacterium. Its description in RNAcentral is "partial 16S ribosomal RNA". It matches the Rfam family "Bacterial small subunit ribosomal RNA", at positions 104 to 334 of the family's 1533-position model. The record is from RNAcentral.
CGGGGUGAGUAACGCGUGGAUAACCUGCCUCACACAGGGGAUAACAGUUAGAAAUGACUGCUAAUACCGCAUAAGCGCACGGUACCGCAUGGUACAGUGUGAAAAACUCCGGUGGUGUGAGAUGGAUCCGCGUCUGAUUAGGUAGUUGGUGAGGUAACGGCCCACCAAGCCGACGAUCAGUAGCCGACCUGAGAGGGUGACCGGCCACAUUGGGACUGAGACACGGCCCAA